GACGUAGGGCGCGAGCGUUGUCCGGAUUUAUUGGGCGUAAAGAGCUCGUAGGCGGCUUGUUUGCGUCGACUGUGAAACCCGACGGCUUAACUGCGGGCUUGCAGUUGAUACGGGCAGGCUAGAGUUCGGUAGGGGAGACUGGAAUUCCUGGUGUAGCGGUGAAAUGCGCAGAUAUCAGGAGGAACACCGGUGGCGAAGGCGGGUCUCUGGGCCGAUACUGACGCUGAGGAGCGAAAGCGUGGGGAGCGAACAGG
RNAcentral lists this ribosomal RNA (254 nucleotides) under uncultured bacterium. Its description in RNAcentral is "partial 16S ribosomal RNA". It matches the Rfam family "Bacterial small subunit ribosomal RNA", at positions 524 to 776 of the family's 1533-position model. The record is from RNAcentral.